RNAcentral lists this ribosomal RNA (253 nucleotides) under uncultured bacterium. RNAcentral's name for it is "partial 16S ribosomal RNA". It matches the Rfam family "Bacterial small subunit ribosomal RNA", at positions 524 to 776 of the family's 1533-position model. The record is from RNAcentral.
GACGUAGGGGGCGAGUGUUGUCCGGAAUUAUUGGGCGUAAAGAGCUCGUAGGCGGCCGGUUGCGUCUGCUGUGAAAUCCCGGGGCUUAACCCCGGGCGUGCAGUGGAUACGGGCCGGCUGGAGGCAGGCAGGGGAGAAUGGAAUUCCCGGUGUAGCGGUGAAAUGCGCAGAUAUCGGGAGGAACACCUGUGGCGAAAGCGGCGCACUGGACCACAACUGACGCUGAGGCGCGAAAGCUAGGGGAGCAAACAGG